Molecule: ribosomal RNA, 799 nt
Filed under: human gut metagenome
Description: bacterial SSU rRNA
Rfam family: Bacterial small subunit ribosomal RNA
Source: RNAcentral
AGAGUGGCGAACGGGUGAGUAAUGCGUGACCGACCUGCCCCAUACACCGGAAUAGCUCCUGGAAACGGGUGGUAAUGCCGGAUGUUCCACAUGAUCGCAUGUGAUUGUGGGAAAGAUUCUAUCGGCGUGGGAUGGGGUCGCGUCCUAUCAGCUUGUUGGUGAGGUAACGGCUCACCAAGGCUUCGACGGGUAGCCGGCCUGAGAGGGCGACCGGCCACAUUGGGACUGAGAUACGGCCCAGACUCCUACGGGAGGCAGCAGUGGGGAAUAUUGCACAAUGGGCGCAAGCCUGAUGCAGCGACGCCGCGUGAGGGAUGGAGGCCUUCGGGUUGUAAACCUCUUUUGUUUGGGAGCAAGCCCUUCGGGUGAGUGUACCUUUCGAAUAAGCGCCGGCUAACUACGUGCCAGCAGCCGCGGUAAUACGUAGGGCGCAAGCGUUAUCCGGAUUUAUUGGGCGUAAAGGGCUCGUAGGCGGUUCGUCGCGUCCGGUGUGAAAGUCCAUCGCUUAACGGUGGAUCCGCGCCGGGUACGGGCGGGCUUGAGUGCGGUAGGGGAGACUGGAAUUCCCGGUGUAACGGUGGAAUGUGUAGAUAUCGGGAAGAACACCAAUGGCGAAGGCAGGUCUCUGGGCCGUCACUGACGCUGAGGAGCGAAAGCGUGGGGAGCGAACAGGAUUAGAUACCCUGGUAGUCCACGCCGUAAACGGUGGAUGCUGGAUGUGGGGCCCGUUCCACGGUCUCCGUGUCGGAGCUAACGCGUUAAGCAUCCCGCCUGGGGAGUACGGCCGCAAGGCUAAAAC